AAUCCAUGAUGAGGGCAUUGAGCUUGGUAGCCUUUGAAUCUCUCUCAGGCUUCACUGAAUCCUUCCAAGCCUUUCUGUUGAAAGCUGGAGAUCUCAUUUCUCAGCUU
RNAcentral lists this small nucleolar RNA (107 nucleotides) under Brassica napus (rape). RNAcentral's name for it is "Plant small nucleolar RNA R71". It matches the Rfam family "Plant small nucleolar RNA R71". From Rfam's summary of the family: R71 is a member of the C/D box family of snoRNAs containing the C (UGAUGA) and D (CUGA) box motifs. Multiple nearly identical copies of this snoRNA have been identified in Arabidopsis, and it is thought to function as a 2'-O-ribose methylation guide for 18S ribosomal RNA. RNAcentral also lists the same sequence under 1 other name. Lineage: Eukaryota; Viridiplantae; Streptophyta; Magnoliopsida; Brassicales; Brassicaceae. The record is from Rfam by way of RNAcentral.